Molecule: ribosomal RNA, 837 nt
Filed under: uncultured Bacteroidota bacterium
Lineage: Bacteria; Pseudomonadati; Bacteroidota
Description: bacterial SSU rRNA
Rfam family: Bacterial small subunit ribosomal RNA
Source: RNAcentral
CAAGUCGAACGGGAUUGAUUGUAGCAAUAUGAUCAUGAGAGUGGCGCACGGGUGCGUAACACGUAUGCAACCUACCUAUAACUGGGGGAUAGCCUCCCGAAAGGGAGAUUAACACCGCAUAACAUUAUGAAGUGGCAUCACUUUAUAAUUAAAUCUACGGAGGUUAUAGAUGGGCAUGCGUCCGAUUAGCUAGUUGGUGAGGUAACGGCUCACCAAGGCUCCGAUCGGUAGGGGGUCUGAGAGGAUGAUCCCCCACACUGGUACUGAGACACGGACCAGACUCCUACGGGAGGCAGCAGUAAGGAAUAUUGGACAAUGGGCGCAAGCCUGAUCCAGCCAUGCCGCGUGAAGGAUGAAGGCCCUAUGGGUCGUAAACUUCUUUUAUACGGGACAAAACCCCCCGAUGCGUCGGGGGUUGAUGGUACUGUAAGAAUAAGGGUCGGCUAACUUCGUGCCAGCAGCCGCGGUAAUACGAAGGACCCGAGCGUUAUCCGGAUUUAUUGGGUUUAAAGGGUGCGUAGGCGGAUUAGUAAGUCAGUGGUGAAAGCCCAUCGCUUAACGGUGGAAUUGCCAUUGAUACUGCUAGUCUUGAGUAUGGUUGAGGUGGGCGGAAUGUGUCAUGUAGCGGUGAAAUGCUUAGAUAUGACCCAGAACACCAAUUGCGAAGGCAGCUCGCUAAACCAUAACUGACGCUGAUGCACGAAAGCGUGGGGAGCAAACAGGAUUAGAUACCCUGGUAGUCCACGCCCUAAACUAUGAUCACUCGUUGUUGGCGAUACACAGUCAGCGACUAAGGGAAACCAUUAAGUGAUCCACCUGGGAAGUACGACCGCAAGG